This 2930-nucleotide ribosomal RNA is filed under the name Escherichia coli. RNAcentral describes it as "23S ribosomal RNA". It matches the Rfam family "Bacterial large subunit ribosomal RNA". Lineage: Bacteria; Pseudomonadati; Pseudomonadota; Gammaproteobacteria; Enterobacterales; Enterobacteriaceae. The record is from RNAcentral.
GGGUUGUGAGGUUAAGCGACUAAGCGUACACGGUGGAUGCCCUGGCAGUCAGAGGCGAUGAAGGACGUGCUAAUCUGCGAUAAGCGUCGGUAAGGUGAUAUGAACCGUUAUAACCGGCGAUUUCCGAAUGGGGAAACCCAGUGUGUUUCGACACACUAUCAUUAACUGAAUCCAUAGGUUAAUGAGGCGAACCGGGGGAACUGAAACAUCUAAGUACCCCGAGGAAAAGAAAUCAACCGAGAUUCCCCCAGUAGCGGCGAGCGAACGGGGAGCAGCCCAGAGCCUGAAUCAGUGUGUGUGUUAGUGGAAGCGUCUGGAAAGGCGCGCGAUACAGGGUGACAGCCCCGUACACAAAAAUGCACAUGCUGUGAGCUCGAUGAGUAGGGCGGGACACGUGGUAUCCUGUCUGAAUAUGGGGGGACCAUCCUCCAAGGCUAAAUACUCCUGACUGACCGAUAGUGAACCAGUACCGUGAGGGAAAGGCGAAAAGAACCACAAGCGAGGGGAGUGAAAAGAACCUGAAACCGUGUACGUACAAGCAGUGGGAGCACGCUUAGGCGUGUGACUGCGUACCUUUUGUAUAAUGGGUCAGCGACUUAUAUUCUGUAGCAAGGUUAACCGAAUAGGGGAGCCGAAGGGAAACCGAGUCUUAACUGGGCGUUAAGUUGCAGGGUAUAGACCCGAAACCCGGUGAUCUAGCCAUGGGCAGGUUGAAGGUUGGGUAACACUAACUGGAGGACCGAACCGACUAAUGUUGAAAAAUUAGCGGAUGACUUGUGGCUGGGGGUGAAAGGCCAAUCAAACCGGGAGAUAGCUGGUUCUCCCCGAAAGCUAUUUAGGUAGCGCCUCGUGAAUUCAUCUCCGGGGGUAGAGCACUGUUUCGGCAAGGGGGUCAUCCCGACUUACCAACCCGAUGCAAACUGCGAAUACCGGAGAAUGUUAUCACGGGAGACACACGGCGGGUGCUAACGUCCGUCGUGAAGAGGGAAACAACCCAGACCGCCAGCUAAGGUCCCAAAGUCAUGGUUAAGUGGGAAACGAUGUGGGAAGGCCCAGACAGCCAGGAUGUUGGCUUAGAAGCAGCCAUCAUUUAAAGAAAGCGUAAUAGCUCACUGGUCGAGUCGGCCUGCGCGGAAGAUGUAACGGGGCUAAACCAUGCACCGAAGCUGCGGCAGCGACGCUUAUGCGUUGUUGGGUAGGGGAGCGUUCUGUAAGCCUGUGAAGGUGUGCUGUGAGGCAUGCUGGAGGUAUCAGAAGUGCGAAUGCUGACAUAAGUAACGAUAAAGCGGGUGAAAAGCCCGCUCGCCGGAAGACCAAGGGUUCCUGUCCAACGUUAAUCGGGGCAGGGUGAGUCGACCCCUAAGGCGAGGCCGAAAGGCGUAGUCGAUGGGAAACAGGUUAAUAUUCCUGUACUUGGUGUUACUGCGAAGGGGGGACGGAGAAGGCUAUGUUGGCCGGGCGACGGUUGUCCCGGUUUAAGCGUGUAGGCUGGUUUUCCAGGCAAAUCCGGAAAAUCAAGGCUGAGGCGUGAUGACGAGGCACUACGGUGCUGAAGCAACAAAUGCCCUGCUUCCGUGAAAGCCUCUAAGCAUCAGGUAACAUCAAAUCGUACCCCAAACCGACACAGGUGGUCAGGUAGAGAAUACCAAGGCGCUUGAGAGAACUCGGGUGAAGGAACUAGGCAAAAUGGUGCCGUAACUUCGGGAGAAGGCACGCUGAUAUGUAGGUGAAGUCCCUCGCGGAUGGAGCUGAAAUCAGUCGAAGAUACCAGCUGGCUGCAACUGUUUAUUAAAAACACAGCACUGUGCAAACACGAAAGUGGACGUAUACGGUGUGACGCCUGCCCGGUGCCGGAAGGUUAAUUGAUGGGGUUAGCCGCAAGGCGAAGCUCUUGAUCGAAGCCGUGAAAACGGCGGCCGUAACUAUAACGGUCCUAAGGUAGCGAAAUUCCUUGUCGGGUAAGUUCCGACCUGCACGAAUGGCGUAAUGAUGGCCAGGCUGUCUCCACCCGAGACUCAGUGAAAUUGAACUCGCUGUGAAGAUGCAGUGUACCCGCGGCAAGACGGAAAGACCCCGUGAACCUUUACUAUAGCUUGACACUGAACAUUGAGCCUUGAUGUGUAGGAUAGGUGGGAGGCUUAGAAGUGUGGACGCCAGUCUGCAUGGAGCCGACCUUGAAAUACCACCCUUUAAUGUUUGAUGUUCUAACGUUGACCCGUAAUCCGGGUUGCGGACAGUGUCUGGUGGGUAGUUUGAUGGGGCGGUCUCCUCCUAAAGAGUAACGGAGGAGCACGAAGGUUGGCUAAUCCUGGUCGGACAUCAGGAGGUUAGUGCAAUGGCAUAAGCCAGCUUGACUGCGAGCGUGACGGCGCGAGCAGGUGCGAAAGCAGGUCAUAGUGAUCCGGUGGUUCUGAAUGGAAGGGCCAUCGCUCAACGGAUAAAAGGUACUCCGGGGAUAACAGGCUGAUACCGCCCAAGAGUUCAUAUCGACGGCGGUGUUUGGCACCUCGAUGUCGGCUCAUCACAUCCUGGGGCUGAAGUAGGUCCCAAGGGUAUGGCUGUUCGCCAUUUAAAGUGGUACGCGAGCUGGGUUUAGAACGUCGUGAGACAGUUCGGUCCCUAUCUGCCGUGGGCGCUGGAGAACUGAGGGGGGCUGCUCCUAGUACGAGAGGACCGGAGUGGACGCAUCACUGGUGUUCGGGUUGUCAUGCCAAUGGCACUGCCCGGUAGCUAAAUGCGGAAGAGAUAAGUGCUGAAAGCAUCUAAGCACGAAACUUGCCCCGAGAUGAGUUCUCCCUGACUCCUUGAGAGUCCUGAAGGAACGUUGAAGACGACGACGUUGAUAGGCCGGGUGUGUAAGCGCAGCGAUGCGUUGAGCUAACCGGUACUAAUGAACCGUGAGGCUUAACCUUACAACGCCGAAGGUGUUU